ACCCAGCUGACGAGUCCGAAACAAAACGAAACGCGCGUCAUAGAU
Non-coding RNA from Schistosoma rodhaini, 45 nucleotides. NCBI's taxonomy places the organism in Eukaryota, Metazoa, Platyhelminthes, Trematoda, Strigeidida, Schistosomatidae. The record is from Rfam.